UGAAAGCCCGGUUCCCUUAUGAUUACCAAAGUUAAGCAACGUCGAACCUAGUCAGUAUCCAGAUGGGUGACCGUUUGGGAAUACCAGGUGCUGC
Non-coding RNA from Acanthosepion pharaonis, 94 nucleotides. NCBI's taxonomy places the organism in Eukaryota, Metazoa, Mollusca, Cephalopoda, Sepiida, Sepiidae. The record is from the annotation of a GenBank genome assembly.